This 300-nucleotide unclassified non-coding RNA is filed under the name uncultured fungus. RNAcentral's name for it is "partial contains small subunit ribosomal RNA, internal transcribed spacer 1, and 5.8S ribosomal RNA". The stretch from base 1 to 73 matches the Rfam family "Eukaryotic small subunit ribosomal RNA", at positions 1759 to 1831 of the family's 1831-position model. The record is from RNAcentral. Lineage: Eukaryota; Fungi.
CCAAACUUGGUCAUUUAGAGGAAGUAAAAGUCGUAACAAGGUAUCCGUAGGUGAACCUGCGGAUGGAUCAUUACCAAUUUAACUUUACAGUUUGUAGUCAUCACUUCGGUGAUGGGUACACAACUACCAUGUAAACGUUGAACUUGAUCAUCAGUGUUGUGGACUUGCUUAUCGAUCUAUCGAUGGGUAGUCCCCACACUGAUACCAUUUUAUAUAAUAUACUACUCGUAUAUACUACAAACAAACAAAACAACUUUCAACAAUGGAUCUCUUGGCUCUCGCAUCGAUGAAGAACGCAGC